Molecule: long non-coding RNA, 486 nt
Filed under: Bos taurus (domestic cattle)
Lineage: Eukaryota; Metazoa; Chordata; Mammalia; Artiodactyla; Bovidae
Description: long non-coding RNA NONBTAT016459
Source: RNAcentral
GAUGGCUUAAGGUUACACUUAUAGAAGAUUUCAGUUCCAGAAUGAUGAUUCUCUCUUCAAUAAAUAAUCUCUGCAGGGUAGAGUUAAGUCACUAGUCUAAGGUUUAGAUAUAAUAAACAUUUUGAAUGAUAAACAUUUGUGACUCUGAUGAAAAAUUUCCAGGAAGGCUGUAACUGUUCCAAUGGCCUUCAGCUUGUAGAAGUUGGUAAUUCUCUUUAGAGGACCAGGAAAGUUAAGCCAGGCAAGUUGUAAGCUUGCUGCUACUUAAAAUUACAAAUCAUUGAAAACUUGUCCAUGAGAACACCUUAGGGAGUAAAUGUGGAUAAUAAUGGUUUAUGUGUGGUUGCAAAACAAUAAUGAACCUGUCUAAUCGAUUGUUCUGAAUAGCAGUAGAUCACAGUGGAAGGAAAAAAUACAUAUCCUUAUCGACUCUUCGUGCGUCCUGUAACUUUUCACUCUUGGGAUUUUUGAAUGGUUUUCUUUAUC